RNAcentral lists this ribosomal RNA (401 nucleotides) under uncultured bacterium. Its description in RNAcentral is "bacterial SSU rRNA". It matches the Rfam family "Bacterial small subunit ribosomal RNA", at positions 357 to 775 of the family's 1533-position model. The record is from RNAcentral.
GGGAAUAUUGCACAAUGGGGGAAACCCUGAUGCAGCGACGCCGCGUGAGUGAAGAAGCGCCUCGGCGCGUAAAGCUCUGUCAGCAGGAACGAUAAUGACGGUACCUGACUAAGAAGCCCCUGCUAACUACGUGCCAGCAGCCGCGGUAAUACGUAGGGGGCAAGCGUUAUCCGGAUUUACUGGGUGUAAAGGGGGCGCAGACGGCAGCGCAAGCCAGGAGUGAAAGCCCGGGGCCCAACCCCGGGACUGCUCUUGGAACUGCGCGGCUGGAGUGCAGGAGGGGCAGGCGGAAUUCCUGGUGUAGCGGUGAAAUGCGUAGAUAUCAGGAGGAACACCGGUGGCGAAGGCGGCCUGCUGGACUGCGACUGACGUUGAGGCCCGAAAGCGUGGGGAGCAAACAG